GUUUGAUCCUGGCUCAGGACGAACGCUGGCGGCGUGCUUAACACAUGCAAGUCGAACGGAGAACCCUUGACGGAGGUUUCGGCCAACUGAUCGGAAUUCUUAGUGGCGGACGGGUGAGUAACGCGUGAGUAACCUGCCUUUCAGAGGGGAAUAACAUUCUGAAAAGGAUGCUAAUACCGCAUAACAUCGUAGUAUCGCAUGGUACAGCGAUCAAAGGAGCAAUCCGCUGAAAGAUGGACUCGCGUCCGAUUAGCUAGUUGGCGGGAUAAAGGCCCACCAAGGCGACGAUCGGUAGCCGGACUGAGAGGUUGAUCGGCCACAUUGGGACUGAGACACGGCCCAGACUCCUACGGGAGGCAGCAGUGGGGGAUAUUGCACAAUGGGGGAAACCCUGAUGCAGCAACGCCGCGUGAAGGAAGAAGGUCUUCGGAUUGUAAACUUCUGUCCUCAGGGAAGAUAAUGACGGUACCUGAGGAGGAAGCUCCGGCUAACUACGUGCCAGCAGCCGCGGUAA
This 514-nucleotide ribosomal RNA is filed under the name uncultured bacterium. RNAcentral describes it as "bacterial SSU rRNA". It matches the Rfam family "Bacterial small subunit ribosomal RNA", at positions 11 to 523 of the family's 1533-position model. The record is from RNAcentral.